UUUGGCUCUGGAACUAGACUCUUUGUUUCAGACGAGGAGCAGGUGGUGAAGCCCGUGGUGAGCGUGUACCCGGCAGCAUCCAGAGGCCGGCUGGAGGAGAAGAGCUCCCUGCUGUGUUUGGCCUCAGCCAUGUUUCCUCCUGUGGUCAGAAUCUCCUGGAGACGACAAACGGAGAGUGGAUGUUUAGAGGAGCUGCCCUCUGCUGACGGACAGCAGCUGGAGCUCAGAGAGUCUGGAUGUACUGCCUCCGUCUUACAGAUCUAUCAGACAAAGUUCAGCUAUGAAUACAGCUGCUACGUGCAGCACGAGGGGGGAACAGUGGAGGCUCUGAUAGAUACAGGUAAUGAAGUUCCAUCACCUGCAGCGGAUCCCUCUGUCCCGUCUCCAUACAAGGUGAAGCUGCUCUUGCUGCUCUACACAGUGCUGACAGUGAAGAGUCUGGUGUACUGCUGUGGACUCUUCCUGCUGACCGUCCUCAGGAACAUCUCAUAAAUGUAUCUCCUUUAUCGCUUAGAUGAAUUUAAAAAUGUCAAUCAUGACUAAAUAUAUGCAAUUAUGAUCAAACAACAUUUUGCAGCAGUGUAAAACAAAUCCUAUACUAUAUACAGUAAAUGUUAUUGUUUUGUAUAAUACUUUAGCAAAUGAUGCGCAAUGUUUAGAGCUAUUAGCGGCUAAGAUGCUUUCUUAAUCAGGCCCUCAGUCUCUCGUAACAAGCUCUCUUUAUAGUUUCACACACCCAGAGAAUAAAAUGUACAGGAAGAUAUGAAUACAAGCACACACAUUGACCAGGAACAAAAAGCUCACAAAGAAAAGUAAACUUGUAAAAAUUCAGUGUGUUGAUUUGUCUGCAGGUUCACUGUUGACCCUUUAAACGGUGGGUCAGUGUUUUAUGUAGAGCUCUACGCUGAUGAUACUCUUGUUUACAUGUAGAAACAAAACAUGACAUAGCAGCUUCAUCGUGGAGAGCUGAAGCUGAAAGAU
Molecule: non-coding RNA, 981 nt
Organism: Labrus bergylta (ballan wrasse)
Lineage: Eukaryota; Metazoa; Chordata; Actinopteri; Labriformes; Labridae
Source: the annotation of a RefSeq genome assembly